AGGGAAUAGAUACCCAGGUAGUCCCAGCCGUAAACGAUGCUCGCUAGGUGUCAGGCAUGGCGCGACCGUGUCUGGUGCCGCAGGGGAAGCCGUGAAGCGAGCCACCUGGGAAGUACGGCCGCAAGGCUGAAACUUAAAGGAAUUGGCGGGGAGCACAACAACGGUGGAGCCUGCGGUUUAAUUGGACUCAACGCCGGACAACUCACCGGGGCGGACAGCAAUAUGUAGGCCAGGCUGAAGACCUUGCCUGAAUCGCUGAGAGGAGGUGCAUGGCCGUCGCCAGUUCGUACUGUGAAGCAUCCUGUUAAGUCAGGCAACGAGCGAGACCCGUGCCCACUGUUACCAGCAUGUCCUCCGGGACGAUGGGUACUCUGUGGGGACCGCCGAUGUUAAAUCGGAGGAAGGUGCGGGCCACGGUAGGUCAGUAUG
This 429-nucleotide ribosomal RNA is filed under the name uncultured bacterium. RNAcentral's name for it is "bacterial SSU rRNA". It matches the Rfam family "Archaeal small subunit ribosomal RNA", at positions 724 to 1153 of the family's 1478-position model. The record is from RNAcentral.